GGAGAACAAAAGAGAGAGUACUCAAGUAUUUGACACAGCUUUGUGAAAGCACACCGAGUCCGAUGGGUGAAUCGGUGGUUGACUGCAAUAACAUCGCAAACAUGCCAAGCUUGACUUUCACCAUCGGGGAGAAACCUUUCACGCUCUCCCUGAGCAGGCUAAAGUUUGGAAAAUGGCAAAUUCCACUUAUUUUCAGUUGUCUAUAUUCUGAUACAGUGGGAUGAACUAUCUCAGCAUGACGGAGAAUUUGAUAAAAUUCCUGUUUUUGUCACCGUUCCUCAUUUUCAGCAUGUUUUGGAAACUGGGGAUGGAAUUACUACGAUCUGCAUCAGCAGCUUCGUGGCUUUGGAUGUGCCGCCUCCUAGAGGUCCUCUUUGGAUUCUCGGCGCCAUAUUCAUGGGGGUCUACCACACAGUGUUUGAUUCUGGCAAUCUCCAGCUGGGUUUUGCUGGAGGUGCUUAACAAGC
Molecule: long non-coding RNA, 467 nt
Organism: Rhodamnia argentea
Lineage: Eukaryota; Viridiplantae; Streptophyta; Magnoliopsida; Myrtales; Myrtaceae
Exons: 3
Source: RefSeq, a predicted model, not a curated record